This 253-nucleotide ribosomal RNA is filed under the name uncultured bacterium. Its description in RNAcentral is "partial 16S ribosomal RNA". It matches the Rfam family "Bacterial small subunit ribosomal RNA", at positions 524 to 776 of the family's 1533-position model. The record is from RNAcentral.
UACAGAGGGUGCGAGCGUUACUCGGAAUUACUGGGCGUAAAGCGCGCGUAGGCGGCUUUGCAAGUCGGAUGUGAAAUCCCCAGGCUUAACCUGGGAACUGCAUUCGAGACUGCAUUGCUAGAGUAUGGGAGAGGGAAGUGGAAUUUCCGGUGUAGCGGUGAAAUGCGUAGAUAUCAGGAGGAACACCUGCGGUGUAGACGGCUUUCUGGACCAUUGUUGACGCUGAGACACGAAAGCGUGGGUAGCAAACAGG